UUCCUUUCCCCAGGUACAAAUUUUACUUAUUAAAAAGGUAAUGAUGCUUUAUAUUUCUGAAUCAUCUCAUAAUGUACAAAAUAUCUUGAGAAGGAUGUAGUGAAAGCAUGUUCAUUCUCAUUUUCUUUUCAUUCUAAUUUAUAGACACAGAAAUUGGGACUCCAGCAAGUUCAAUGACCAAUUACCCUAGAUGGCAGACUAUCUAUCUUCCGUAUUCAACCUUGAUUAGCUGUAAACAGCUGUCUGAAAGAUGAAGAAAUGAAGCAAACCUGGUUAAGUGAUGUGCCCAGGUUGACACAGCUAGUGAGUUGUUGAAGCAUGAUUUUAGCUUAUGAAAAUGAAUCAUCCUAAUUCUAAACCCAGGGUUCAAUUCACUGUGACACCUAGCUAUUCUAUUAUAUAUGUGGUAAGUAGCAAUUCUUAUACCAAACCCAGGAAUCCUUUUAUUAUAUUUUUUAUAUCUCCCUAAAACAUUUAUUUUACUUUUGAGUGAGCAUAUAGCAGCAGUGUAUGAAAGGUUGUGGAAUUAGUGCCAUGUUAUAGGUGAGAUGUUAGGAAUUAUAUUUUCUAAAUUUUUAUAUAUGUUAUAAUUACUCACCUUAUAAAGUUUGGUACAAUAUCAAAAUAUAGCAGAAAAAAAUUCAGUACCUCAGUCCUUCAAUUAACUUGUGUUCUGACAGGUGUGCCAUAUCUUUGCACCCUAUGC
Molecule: non-coding RNA, 706 nt
Organism: Monodelphis domestica (gray short-tailed opossum)
Lineage: Eukaryota; Metazoa; Chordata; Mammalia; Didelphimorphia; Didelphidae
Source: RefSeq, a predicted model, not a curated record